AUUGAACGCUGGCGGCAGGCUUAACACAUGCAAGUCGAGCGGGGUGAUGGUGCUUGCACUAUCACUUAGCGGCGGACGGGUGAGUAAUGCUUAGGAAUCUGCCUAUUAGUGGGGGACAACAUCUCGAAAGGGAUGCUAAUACCGCAUACGUCCUACGAGAGAAAGCAGGGGAUCACUUGUGACCUUGCGCUAAUAGAUGAGCCUAAGUCGGAUUAGCUGGUUGGUGGGGUAAAGGCCUACCAAGGCGACGAUCUGUAGCGGGUCGGAGAGGAUGAUCCGCCACACUGGGACUGAGACACGGCCCAGACUCCUACGGGAGGCAGCAGUGGGGAAUAUUGGACAAUGGGGGGAACCCUGAUCCAGCCAUGCCGCGUGUGUGAAGAAGGCCUUAUGGUUGUAAAGCACUUUAAGCGAGGAGGAGGCUCUUUUGGUUAAUACCCAAGAUGAGUGGACGUUACUCGCAGAAUAAGCACCGGCUAACUCUGUGCCAGCAGCCGCUGUAA
Molecule: ribosomal RNA, 503 nt
Filed under: uncultured bacterium
Lineage: Bacteria
Description: partial 16S ribosomal RNA
Rfam family: Bacterial small subunit ribosomal RNA
Source: RNAcentral